Long non-coding RNA from Lolium rigidum, 4078 nucleotides. RefSeq lists it as uncharacterized. The transcript has 5 exons. The record is from RefSeq and is a predicted model, not a curated record. NCBI's taxonomy places the organism in Eukaryota, Viridiplantae, Streptophyta, Magnoliopsida, Poales, Poaceae.
CUCCUGCCGGCGUUCACGGGGAGCUCCUGCCGGCGACUUCCCCGAACACCUCCCUAAGUAAAUGCUCUAGGUCUAUGUAAAUGGGCUGCUGGCUCUGAUGGAACUCAGUUUCCCAUGACCAUUGUGUACAGAAAGAUAUGGUGAAGCUUGAUGGCUCAGACCACAUGCUGCUAUACUGAUGUGGCUCACAUUUGUAUCUGGGUCACUCGUUUGGAUAGUAAUUCAGUAAACAAUAAUUACAUUUCUUUUGGAGAACUCGGUUGGCUUUCGUGUCGGUCACUAUUGAGGAAGGUGAAGCCUUUCCUCGCGUGGCUUUUCCUGGUCCUCCCUUUCCGACCUGCUACUCCUGGCAGUAGGCUGUUCGUCCUGGCAUGACCGUUCCAGCUCUGGCACUUGUUCCUUCAGAUGUGUGACAAGCGGGCUGACUUCCUGCUCCUCUCCUAUGAUGGCCCUGAUGGUCUGCUGCUGCCGCAUGCCUGUGAGUAUGAGCCCUGACCUCCCAGCUUCGGUGGGUGUUCUGUGAAUGCUGUUGGCAUGCAAUGUUGGUCCACUACAUGGAGAGAUCUCCUUCUGAUGGAAAGUUGCAUUAACCAAGCAAUUGAUCUUGUGGCUUCUCCAGACCUUUUGUCUACCAAUUUGGUUCUAAGCCCAUAAUUGGUCUUGCGGCUUCUCCAGACCUUUUGUCUACCAAUUUGGUUCUAAGCCCAUAAUUGGUCUUGCGGUAUGCAUAUGUUUACAAGUCCUAUUCUCCUGUUGAUAAUAUAAGCGCUUAUCCUUGUGUGUUCCUACGCAAAUUUACUAAAUUCAGAUUACCGUCAAUGCAUUUACUUCUGUUUGUUAAUAAUUUGAGUGCUGAUGUUUGUCGUGGCACCACUGAUGUUCCUUGGAUGCAUAAAUUUUUGCUGGGACAAGACUUAGUUAAUUCAUGAAUAGUCAUCGUGUGAAUCAAGUCCGUACAUUGCUAUAUAUGUUUACUUCCUGCACGUGCUAUUUAGGCUUGUUGUAGACAACUUGCUGCACAUGCAGAAAUGUGUUCACCUGAGGUGCAUGCUGCAGGUAAAAGCCCAAGAUUAUCCCCACAUUCUCAUCACUGCUGGCUUAAACGAUCCUCGCGUGAUGUACUCGGAUCCUGCUAAAUUUGUGGUGAAGCUGAGGGAGGCGAAAACGGACGACAAUCUCCUGCUAAUGUGAGCUCGGUGCUGGGCACUUCUCCAAGUUGGGGAGAUUUGACAAAUUGCAAGAAGAUGCCUUCACUUACGCGCUCAUCUUCAAGGCGCUGAGAAUGACUCCUCCAAAAAAGGCUUUGGGUAUGUUUGGUUCAUGCGCAACUAGCACUGCCAAAAAAAAUUGGCUGCCUGUUAUAUUUUGUUCUUUGCUUGGUUUGCUAUUUUGGUUGCCAAUGAGUGUCCAUCCAUCCCUCUCGCAUAUUCUUUCUCGAUUAGUGGGUGAUUUGAACUUUGCUUUCAUUAUCGCAUACUUGGUUCGUCGCUGGAUUUGUUAAAUAUUUUUCUUUUUUUGUGUUGUUGUUUAGUGAAUGGUUUUAAUCUAUAUUAGAGUUUGCCGACAUUAAUUUGUGUUCUUUUGUAUAUACUAGUUGAAUAGACUUCUUUGUGGUUGUGGCUCCUGUAGAUAAACAACUGCAUAGUUUUUUUUGCACAUACUUUACUGGUCCAGGGUUAGCUGGUUAGAAAGAAAGAAAAAAAUAAUUAAUAUGGUGAUGUUUUCUCCAAUGAACAUUAGAUAAUACUUAAGCUUUCCUUGUGAGUUCUUCUUGGGAGUAAAUGAAUUUAUGGUUCUCACUGUGCAUACUUAAUGCCUAGCUUGCUAGGGAAAGAAAGAAAGAAUACUGCUUAUUUAUGAAUUAUCAUCUUUCUGAUGUUAAAUAAUUUAUCAUUUGUGCCUUUUAGAGUUGCUAAUCUGAACAGCUGGUAUGUUCUUCAGUAGUUUAGUUCAGCGAUUUCAAACAUAGAAGCCAUAUUUCGUUCCUUUAAUCUUAACUCUGGCCUCUUUUAUGUCCUAACCUAACUUGGCCUUAAAAACUCAAGUCAGGGAGAUUUCACAAAUGUUUAAUUGGAAGGAAAAAAUAGAUAACUAAGCUCUCACUUUGGUGAAUAAGAGCACAUAUAAAGGACAGUUUAAAUCAGCACCACCUUUAAUGUGGAUUUGAAGUUGUUGAAUACAGUACUACUUUGAGGGUCACAUAGGUACAUUAAAGUCCGCGCUACUUAUACCGCAACCUGAGACCAUCUAUACCUGAAUGAAAGAGCCUGUCUAUGACGGGCAAUCAUGAUAUGGAGUAUUUCUUUCUUCUACAGAUAUAAGCAUCUUCUAUUUUACUCUGAGGAGUUAAAAUGAGCAUGAACAGUCUCCAUAAGACUAAUCUUAUAGGCUUCCUUCCCCAGACCAUGUAUUUUCCUCUUUUGUGCUAACACAGACAAAUUUCUUCCCUAAACUGGUGGUCACAUGACUUCUGAGCAACUUAUAGAGCCUUCUAAUCCAUGAUGCCUACGGUUUACCCAUAGAUUCGAUGUUAAAGAGUGAAUUGCGUACGUCUGAUCAUACUUUAUCUCCGUGCUUGCAAAAAAUUGGGUUUUGGUUGGUUUUGAAAUUGGGGUCAUCACAGCAGCCAAAAGCUAGGGGAUUCUAGGGAUUUCGGGUAAAAGGAAUUGGGGAAUUUGGGAUGGGAGGAGCAAGCAGUCGGGCAAGGAAACAGAGAGGAUGAGAAUUCAGUUUUCCAUAUCUUUUCGCAUAUCCUGUUCAGUACAUGGAGGGCCCCUUAUAACCUGGGGUGGUCUCCAACUCGUUUACACACAGGCCACACGGCCACCCCUUUCCAGCUCAUUCUCAACACACAGACAAAGACGCUGGGCCCAUUGAGCUCACCAGCUCAUCCUGGUGACUGGUUGUCCACCAAUGAUGGCAUAGGUGUGACAUGGUUGUUCUCUUAGCUGGCUACCUGAGGCAUGUUUUGUGGAGUAUUAUUAAUAGGUAACUAUUAUUUGCCCCUGCGAGUUAGCCUCCACUUGAUAGUUAAUCAAGGUUGUAUCCCAUAUGGUAAAUAGCGCAUUUGUUUCCUCUUCUCUAAUGCCUAAACGAAUUUGAAACUGGUAUUACAAUGCUAGUAAUUUUUCACCAUUUUUAUCUAUUCUUGUAUUCAAUAUGACCCACUUUUCUGGCAAGAAAUCAAAAUUUUACGAUGCUCUUAUGUUUCUACUUGGAUUAUGUGCAAAGUAGCCAUAUCCAUGAAUAAAGGCAUUGCUGUUUGGAGGAAUAAAGCUAUAUGCUUUAUUUCUUAUUCUUACACCCUGAUGCUUUAUUCCUUAGGAUUGUUGGUAAAAAUCUACCUAUGUUUUAUUGUUUUGCCAACUACAGCUUCGUUGUUAGAAUGUCUCUUUGAGCUUCAACAAUUCAUUUGUAAGCUUCUUUCAAGAAAAUCUUUUGCAUCUACUUGCGUUCAGGUUCUAGUUUUGACAACAGAUUCAGUCCCAUGCCCUUUCCUGCUCAUCGCCUUUUCAGUCACAUGCCCUUUUCACACUUUCUAUGAUAUAUUUUUAACCAAAUGGUUUGUUAUAGCAGAUCACUUUGUAAGGUUGUUUCAAGAAUUUUGUAGAUAUAUAUUCGAUCGUCUAUAGUUCAUCAGCACCAAAUCGUUUACUAUAGAAAUAGAUGCUAUUCUAUAGAAAACAUAAUAGUGCAUCUUUUUUUUCAACAUAACAAGUGCUCAGUUUGGGUCCUGCAAUUCAAAUACUUGCUAUUUACAGUGUUACUUAUAGGGAUCUUGACAUCAUUUAGGCUUUGGAUACUAUUUGCAAUUUUGACCCUUUGACAUGCCUGUGUACCUUGAAAACAAAUGGCAGUCUCAUUUUCUGCAGCAAAAUGCUAAAGUACUGCCAGUUUGUUGGAGCUUGAUUAGUAUUUUGAUUGUUCUGUUUACUCUUUGCGCACUCUAUAGUUGCUCUUACGUUCUUAUAAGGACUUUUCUUUUUGAGAAAACGCAAAGACUUUGCGUUUCAUUUCAUCGAAAAGGAGAAGAGUUUACAAGCCUCCUAGGAGGCGGGUUACAUCAUGUGUUACAGGA